Molecule: non-coding RNA, 944 nt
Filed under: Pongo abelii (Sumatran orangutan)
Lineage: Eukaryota; Metazoa; Chordata; Mammalia; Primates; Hominidae
Source: RNAcentral
AGCUCUCGCCAUUGUUUCUGCUCAGAACAGAUACCGCCCCUGUAAGGACCGGGAAGAAGAAAAAGAGGCCCAAGUCCUCGGACGCGCUGCUUUUAAAUGCCUCCUUCACCCCGCCCGUGCAUCCCGCUCCUAAGGGGUCAUCUCCUCGCCCUUCCCCGAAGUUUGGUAGAAACUAAAAACCAAAUUCAGAGGGUGUGAAGCUGAGUCUGGUGCAGAGAGAGAAGCCCGGCUCUGGGUCCUACCGCCACGAUCCGGCGAAGGAGCCAGCUCCUCCUCCCUGCUGCACCCGCUCCCCAUGCCGCAAGUCGCCCUCACCUCCAUCUCGGCGUCUGCGGGACCCGCGCCGGCCGCAGACGCAACCGCCUGCGCCGCGACGCCUUCGGGGCCGCCUUUGUUGCUGCUGUUGCUCCCGCCGCUGGCGGUCGAGGCUGCGGGCUUGGAAGGCGCGCUCUCGGGAGGCGGGGGUGGCGGAGGCUCGGCCGCGGACGACAUGAUGUUCCGUCUGCGUCACCCCCUGCUGCCAGAGGCCGAGUCCGGCGGGGAUGGACAGGGAGGCCUAGGCCUGGAUGCUACGUCGCAAUAAACUGGUGGAGGAGCGAGACUCCCACCCGAGCGCUCCCCCGCGCCGCGCCUCCGCGACGGGCCUGAGCCGGGCCCAGGAGCUGCACACUCCCAAACGUUCUGCUCUUCCGCGGCGCUCUAGGUUCCACCGGCGCUUACCUCACGGCGGGAAUCACGUCGACGAGGGUGGGCGGGGCCAGACGGGUCACUGAGGUCAAGGAAGGCGGGCUGAUUUAGAGAAGGGCGGAGGGUUGGGGGAAGGGAAAAAGAAAACGAAAGAGAGACUGAGGCUGGGAAAACGCUUCGCCGCCUCCUCCUCUUCCUCCGGCAGAUAUCAUCUAUCUCGCCAGCAUCCAGGACGACUACCUACGCCACCGACUUUC